Molecule: long non-coding RNA, 492 nt
Filed under: Mytilus galloprovincialis (Mediterranean mussel)
Lineage: Eukaryota; Metazoa; Mollusca; Bivalvia; Mytilida; Mytilidae
Source: RNAcentral
AGUAUUAAACUUAUUUUAUAUUCUAACAGUAAAGUGUUAAAAUUAUUUUUUACAUGGUAUAAUAAAGUAUUAAUCUGUGUUUCAUUUAGUCUGAGUUAUCUGGCUGACUUUGUACUUUACACAGUAAUUUGUCUAAUUAUAACUAACAUUCAGCUGAUAUUCUCCUUGUAUAAAGGGAGAUAAUUCAACAAUGCAUAUAACAACCUGACCUCUGCUUGUAACUUUGAAUAAAUACUAAACUUUCAAAAAAUGAUUUCUUACAUUAUUGUAUAAAAGCUGCUGCAAAAUAAAAGACAACCAUAAAUUAACAUGCUGGUAUAGCAUAGACAAGACUGAAAAUAAUUUCAGUAUUUGAAUUAAAAUUAUGAAACUUCUAAAAUAAUCACAUCCCCAAAUUUUAUUUAUAUUUAAAAUAUUCACUUUUACUUGAGUAUUACAAAGAAAAAAUAAAAUCCAUUAAUAUAAUAUGGACAAAAAUAUUGCACAAUUUUC